This is a long non-coding RNA of Camelus dromedarius (Arabian camel), 525 nucleotides long. RefSeq lists it as uncharacterized. The transcript is spliced from 3 exons. The record is from RefSeq and is a predicted model, not a curated record. NCBI's taxonomy places the organism in Eukaryota, Metazoa, Chordata, Mammalia, Artiodactyla, Camelidae.
UCCUCUCGGCUGAUCCCCGGCUGAUCCCCGUGGGUCUGUGAGGCAUCAGAACAGCCUUCAGCAGUGAGGGCGUGUCACACAGCGAGCUCUGCAUCCCCAAACACGGGAGGCUGUGAUUCGCGGAACAAAGUAGCUAAGGAGAAUUGGGGAGCUGAUGAAAUCAGAAAAGCAGUAUGAGGACUUCAGCUGAGAAAUGUGAAUCAUCGGAGAGGGAGGAUGGAGUCUGUGAAACCCCAGAGGGCUCAGCUGCAGGGAGCACAGCUGUGUUCACCAGGGGUGGCCUACUUGUUAUUGCAGCGGAGAAAAGCAUCAGAAGGGCUUUGAAGGCGUGGAGCAGCCUCGAAGUUCUCAAGUUCUUAUGAAACGUAGCAGCUCACUGGGAAGCCCAAGAGGAGGAAGUGGUGCAUUCUAGAGGAGCUCAUGGGGAUGCCGUGGGCUGCAGGUUCUUGCCCAGUUUGGUUCUGGGAUUCUGGAAGAACAGCAGCCACAUGGAGGUAAGUCCACCUGGUGGGUUAGCAGCGGCUA